GUGAAUAUAAUCUAACCAAGACCCUAGGUUGUGAUCCUAGAAAUGGGGGCCAACACCCCCCUAUUCACC
RNAcentral lists this transfer RNA (69 nucleotides) under Kaloula kalingensis (Kalinga narrowmoouth toad). RNAcentral describes it as "tRNA-His". Lineage: Eukaryota; Metazoa; Chordata; Amphibia; Anura; Microhylidae. The record is from RNAcentral.